Molecule: ribosomal RNA, 898 nt
Filed under: uncultured Chloroflexota bacterium
Lineage: Bacteria; Bacillati; Chloroflexota
Description: bacterial SSU rRNA
Rfam family: Bacterial small subunit ribosomal RNA
Source: RNAcentral
GAUGAACGCUGGCGGCGUGCCUAACACAUGCAAGUCGAACGGUCCUGGAAGCUGGAAGCUGGCGACUGGAGACUAGCUUGCUAGCGACCAGUAACUAGCAACUGGCAACCAGGAUAGUGGCGAACGGGUGAGUAACACGUAGGUGACCUGCCCCGAAGAGGGGGAUAACCGCUGGAAACGGCGGCUAAUACCCCAGUAGUCGUGAGGGUUAGAGGCCUCAUGAUUAAAGCUCCGGCGCUUUGGGAGGGGCCUGCGGCUUAUCAGCUAGUUGGUGGGGUAAUGGCUCACCAAGGCAAUGACGGGUAGCUGGUCUGAGAGGACGAUCAGCCACAUGGGCACUGAGACACGGGCCCGACUCCUACGGGAGGCAGCAGUGAGGGAUCUUGCGCAAUGGGCGAAAGCCUGACGCAGCAACGCCGCGUGGGCGAUGAAGGCCUUCGGGUUGUAAAGCCCUUUUCUGGGGGAAGAGGAAGGACGGUACCCCAGGAAUAAGUCCCGGCUAACUACGUGCCAGCAGCCGCGGUAAAACGUAGGGGACAAGUGUUAUCCGGAUUCACUGGGCGUAAAGCGCGUGCAGGUGGUGCUUUAAGUUGGGCGUGAAAUCUCCCGGCUUAACUGGGAGGAGUCGUUCAAUACUGGAGCACUUGAGGGCAGGAGAGGGAGGUGGAAUUCCCGGUGUAGUGGUGAAAUGCGUAGAUAUCGGGAGGAACACCAGUGGCGAAGGCGGCCUCCUGGCCUGCUUCUGACACUAAGACGCGAAAGCUAGGGGAGCAAACGGGAUUAGAUACCCCGGUAGUCCUAGCUGUAAACGAUGGAUACUAGGUGUGGGUGGUAUUGACCCCAUCCGUGCCGAAGCUAACGCGAUAAGUAUCCCGCCUGGGGACACGGCCGCAAGGUU